GGGUGCCCUGUAGUCAGUUCAACCUUUCUCUAUUCCCUCCCCCGGCCCUCCCGAGCUCGUCGGCGGAGGGCGAAAAAAUGGCGGCGGCGAGCAAUACGGGAGGAGCUGCUGCCCUGCCCGACAACUCACUCGAGUUUCUACUGGAUCUGGUUGACAGGUUUCCGUUCAGAGAGGUCAUUGCGGACGUUGAGCAGCCAGAUCCGUUGGUGGUGAGGGUCGACUCCCUGUGCGCGGUUGUGGUUGGACACUUCGGCGGCGUUGUUGAGCACAUGAAUUCCGGCGGCUAGAAGAAAGAAUCACUAACACAGUCCGUCGAAUCGACCGGCAAGGUGAACCCAGAGGUGCCGGGGUGGACCAGAAGGUACAAAUGAAAUUAGUGUUCUUUAUGACGAGAUGGUUUUGAUUUUUGCAACUAAUGUCACAUAUUUUCUGUGUAUGUCAAUGGAUGCAUGGGGCUAUGAUUACUAGUGUCAGCUGGCUGCAGUCUGCACUCCUAAUUUUUGUGGUUGAGAAUUGGCCGUGCACCUCCGGAUAGGGCACUCUGCCCCUGGUAGAGUCACUCCACUUGAAGAAACAAAUCGGACAAUGUAGAGAAACCAGAGAUUGGGAUGAGUUUUGACUCCCUAGGGAAGCCUACGAUUUCUAUAAGUUGUAUAAGAUAUGGCAACUGUUGUCUGAAUGUCGAGCGGACAAAUUGUAUGCAGGAGAUCGUCUAUGGAUCCUCGGGAAAUCCUGAGCAGCAGAAUAGCUGGUCUUGCCGGUGCGAGUGCCCUUCAAUGAUCAGACUUCUUAGAGCUGCUCACAAUGGAUGGUUGAUAGCUGAACACCGGUCAAGCCACAACCAUUCAAUGUCCCUUACUUGCGGUGAAAAGGUUCAUUGGCCGUCCUACAAGCACAUAGAUAUGUAGACAAAAGACUUAGUGAAGCAGCUUAGGGGGAACAAUGUGAACCUCAACAAGGUGUACAUCAUAGUUGUCAGCUUCUCCUGUUCAUCUCAGAAUGUGCCUUUGACAAAGCGGUCUUCUCCCGAAUCUGUGUGGCAGGAUAAGUCGAGACCAGGCUGCCGAUGAUGUGAACAAGACCCUUGCUGUGUUUAAAGAGAUACAGCGCAACGACCCUUGUGGACAAAUGAAAACAACAAGCUGCAGUACAAAUUCUUUGGUGAUGUCAUCACAUUUGACACAACGUAUCGGACUAAUUAAUCUCUAUGACAUGCCCUUUGGGUUGUUUGUUGGAGUGAACAAUCACUUCCAGAGCGUAAUUCUAGCUGGUGUCUGGGUGCGUGACGAGCAAGUGAGUACUUCCAAUGGAUGUUCUCUGAAUUCAUUAACAUGAUGAGGGGUAUACACUUGCAGACAAUACUGACAGAUAUGUACAUCACUCUCUGAGCAGCACAUAUUACGGCUAAUAUGUGAAUUGUACAUACAAAUAACUAUGUUGUUCCAUGUGCAAAUUGCAGAUCAAGUGAGAGCCAUGGAAUUGCAAUCAAGACUGAGUUACCCGGGACUGUGCACACCUACUUGGUGGCCCCGAUGAUAUGGUCGGGGGAGGCGGUGGCAUUAUGUCCACAAUGAGGAUAUGUAUAUUCUUUAGCAUAUACAUAUUUUUUUUUCAAGUACUACUACAUACUUAAUAAUUAGUCUUAACUUCUGGAGUGUGAAUUGCCUAUAUAGUGUCAGUUUUCAGAAAACAACCUUGUUUAUGUGAUGGUUCAAUGGUCGAAUGAUAUUAUUCUUGACAAACUUGUUUUAUAGAAACAAAUGGUGUUGCACAUACACGUCUUAGAAAAAUCAACAAGCAGUAUUGGUGGUUUGUGAGAACUGUACCUUUGAAUCCAGUGAGAAUCAGGGUGCUGGUAUUUUGAGUCCAGUGAGAACCUUUGAAUUCUUUUUUCGGGGCAUUGUUCAGAUUCUUUUGAUAGGGCCUAGUUAAUUAGUCCUAAAAGCAUACAAUCAUGUUGGGGGUACUUGUCAUAAAGUCCCUCUCAUUUCACUCCAUUCAAAAAACAAUUGAAGAUUUGUACAGCUGAUCAGGCUUUAAACUUUGCUGAUUGUUUGCGGAGGGACAACUUGACAGCAUGCUCUUUCAUCAUUUCAUUGCAAAAUACUCUUUAUUCAAAACUCUUCUGCUAACUAAACUGCCUUUUGUGAACACAUAGUAUAGUCGAGCAUUCAUAUGGUGAUUUCCAACUACAGAAUUAUCACUGAAUCCACAUCCUGGAAGCGGAACGAUCUCCAAACCUCAUGCUCGAAUUGGUUUGCACAAGUAAUUAUUUACCAACUGGAUUCAAAUAUGUAAGCAUGGCCAUCUGUCUACUAUAUUUUUGAUUAUGCCAAUGACCAUCUGCCAGUGCAUCAGUUCUUAUCCAUCUCACAAUUAACUUAUUUCCGUUUUGUGCCGGGCAAAGUCUUCCAAGCAAAACUGCAGGAAGCAAGAAACCAAGCAGUAAUUUGUAAUCCUGUUGAGUUUACUGAAUGGGCUUCAUGUUUACUAAAUGUUGAGUUUACUGAAUGGACAUCAUGCUUCAGAAUUUUGAGGGUUCUCUUCACUGUACACUGAUUCUUGGGUCUUGUGUCUUAUGUACACUUUCUGAAUCUUGUGUCUUUCUCAAUGAGCAAGAAAUCAAGCAAAACGUUGAGUUUA
Triticum aestivum (bread wheat) is the source of this 2643-nucleotide long non-coding RNA. RefSeq lists it as uncharacterized. Lineage: Eukaryota; Viridiplantae; Streptophyta; Magnoliopsida; Poales; Poaceae. The record is from RefSeq and is a predicted model, not a curated record. The transcript is spliced from 4 exons.